UACGGAGGGGGCUAGCGUUGUUCGGAAUUACUGGGCGUAAAGCGCACGUAGGCGGAUUUGUAAGUCAGGGGUGAAAUCCCGGGGCUCAACCUCGGAACUGCCUUUGAUACUGCAAAUCUCGAGUCCGGAAGAGGUGAGUGGAAUUCCUAGUGUAGAGGUGAAAUUCGUAGAUAUUAGGAAGAACACCAGUGGCGAAGGCGGCUCACUGGUCCGGUACUGACGCUGAGGCGCGAAAGCAUGGGUAGCAAACAGG
This 253-nucleotide ribosomal RNA is filed under the name uncultured bacterium. RNAcentral describes it as "partial 16S ribosomal RNA". It matches the Rfam family "Bacterial small subunit ribosomal RNA", at positions 524 to 776 of the family's 1533-position model. The record is from RNAcentral.